This 143-nucleotide transfer RNA is filed under the name Caudoviricetes sp. RNAcentral describes it as "tRNA-OTHER". It matches the Rfam family "tRNA". From Rfam's summary of the family: Transfer RNA (tRNA) molecules are approximately 80 nucleotides in length. The record is from RNAcentral. Lineage: Duplodnaviria; Heunggongvirae; Uroviricota; Caudoviricetes.
GCUGCCAUAGCUUAGUGGGCUAGAGCGCUUUGCAUCUGAUACAUGCAAGGUAACAUUGGCGAUACACACCACCCAUGGCUCUGCGUUUAGCCAGCGCAGAAGUUAAUGCGGUGUGGGCGUUGGUUCAAAUCCAACUGGCAGCA